RNAcentral lists this ribosomal RNA (377 nucleotides) under uncultured bacterium. RNAcentral describes it as "bacterial SSU rRNA". It matches the Rfam family "Bacterial small subunit ribosomal RNA", at positions 521 to 896 of the family's 1533-position model. The record is from RNAcentral.
UAAUACAGAGGUCUCAAGCGUUGUUCGGAUUUAUUGGGCGUAAAGCGUGCGUAGGCGGCGGGGUAAGUGAGGUGUGAAAUCCCGGAGCUUAACUCCGGAACUGCACUUUAUACUGCCUUGCUCGAGGGCUGGAGAGGAGACUGGAAUUUACGGUGUAGCAGUGAAAUGCGUAGAGAUCGUAAGGAAGACCAGUGGCGAAGGCGAGUCUCUGGAAAGCUGCUGACGCUGAGGCACGAAGGCCAGGGGAGCAAACGGGAUUAGAUACCCCGGUAGUCCUGGCAGUAAACGGUGCGCGUUUGGUGUGGGAGGAUUCGACCCCUUCCGUGCCGGAGCUAACGCGUUAAACGCGCCGCCUGGGGAGUACGAUCGCAAGAUUA